This is a long non-coding RNA of Varanus komodoensis (Komodo dragon), 339 nucleotides long. RefSeq lists it as uncharacterized. The transcript is spliced from 3 exons. NCBI's taxonomy places the organism in Eukaryota, Metazoa, Chordata, Lepidosauria, Squamata, Varanidae. The record is from RefSeq and is a predicted model, not a curated record.
AGUUCUACUUGUAAAGAUGUUUCACAAUUGAGAUGUAGGUAUGCCUAUGAAAGUUUAUGUAGCAAAAUUGGUGCCAAACUGCAAAGGAGUCAGUUCUUGGAGGGAGCCUAAGGAACUUUGGAUCUAUAAGGAGGUCUUAAAGAUACUUAAUAGAAAAUUCUCCAGCUCCUCAUCACACUGCAAUUUCCAGGGCUCUUGGGGAAAGCCAUCACAGUUAAACAGUGCACAGUUAAACUGGAAUAAAAACAAUAAUUUGUGAUGUAUAAAUAUAACCUAUCGAUCUUUAUCUACCAAUUUCUACAUCCCGAUAUGAGAGAGAUUGCAUCCUAAAACAUUACA